Molecule: ribosomal RNA, 791 nt
Filed under: uncultured organism
Description: SSU rRNA
Rfam family: Bacterial small subunit ribosomal RNA
Source: RNAcentral
UGGCGUGCCUAAUACAUGCAAGUCGAGCGAACAGACGAGGAGCUUGCUCCUCUGACGUUAGCGGCGGACGGGUGAGUAACACGUGGAUAACCUACCUAUAAGACUGGGAUAACUUCGGGAAACCGGAGCUAAUACCGGAUAAUAUAUUGAACCGCAUGGUUCAAUAGUGAAAGACGGUUUUGCUGUCACUUAUAGAUGGAUCCGCGCCGCAUUAGCUAGUUGGUAAGGUAACGGCUUACCAAGGCAACGAUGCGUAGCCGACCUGAGAGGGUGAUCGGCCACACUGGAACUGAGACACGGUCCAGACUCCUACGGGAGGCAGCAGUAGGGAAUCUUCCGCAAUGGGCGAAAGCCUGACGGAGCAACGCCGCGUGAGUGAUGAAGGUCUUCGGAUUGUAAAACUCUGUUAUUAGGGAAGAACAAAUGUGUAAGUAACUAUGCACGUCUUGACGGUACCUAAUCAGAAAGCCACGGCUAACUACGUGCCAGCAGCCGCGGUAAUACGUAGGUGGCAAGCGUUAUCCGGAAUUAUUGGGCGUAAAGCGCGCGUAGGCGGUUUUUUAAGUCUGAUGUGAAAGCCCACGGCUCAACCGUGGAGGGUCAUUGGAAACUGGAAAACUUGAGUGCAGAAGAGGAAAGUGGAAUUCCAUGUGUAGCGGUGAAAUGCGCAGAGAUAUGGAGGAACACCAGUGGCGAAGGCGACUUUCUGGUCUGUAACUGACGCUGAUGUGCGAAAGCGUGGGGAUCAAACAGGAUUAGAUACCCUGGUAGUCCCACGCCGUAAACGAUGA